This 107-nucleotide small nucleolar RNA is filed under the name Theobroma cacao (cacao). RNAcentral's name for it is "Plant small nucleolar RNA R71". It matches the Rfam family "Plant small nucleolar RNA R71". Rfam says of the family: R71 is a member of the C/D box family of snoRNAs containing the C (UGAUGA) and D (CUGA) box motifs. Multiple nearly identical copies of this snoRNA have been identified in Arabidopsis, and it is thought to function as a 2'-O-ribose methylation guide for 18S ribosomal RNA. Lineage: Eukaryota; Viridiplantae; Streptophyta; Magnoliopsida; Malvales; Malvaceae. The record is from Rfam by way of RNAcentral.
AUCCCAUGAUGUGGACAUAUUCUCAAUAGUUCUUUAAACCUCUCCCAAGCUUCAUAUAAUGACUCACCAUCAAAUUGUGCGAAUGAGGUGAUACCAUUUCUCAUCUU